UCCGUAGGUGAACCUGCCGAAGGAUCAUUG
RNAcentral lists this ribosomal RNA (30 nucleotides) under Praxelis clematidea. Its description in RNAcentral is "partial 18S ribosomal RNA". Lineage: Eukaryota; Viridiplantae; Streptophyta; Magnoliopsida; Asterales; Asteraceae. The record is from RNAcentral.